Molecule: ribosomal RNA, 497 nt
Filed under: uncultured bacterium
Lineage: Bacteria
Description: partial 16S ribosomal RNA
Rfam family: Bacterial small subunit ribosomal RNA
Source: RNAcentral
GAUGAACGCUGGCGGCGUGCCUAAUACAUGCAAGUCGAGCGAACGGACGAGAAGCUUGCUUCUCUGAUGUUAGCGGCGGACGGGUGAGUAACACGUGGAUAACCUACCUAUAAGACUGGGAUAACUUCGGGAAACCGGAGCUAAUACCGGAUAAUAUUUUGAACCGCAUGGUUCAAAAGUGAAAGACGGUCUUGCUGUCACUUAUAGAUGGAUCCGCGCUGCAUUAGCUAGUUGGUAAGGUAACGGCUUACCAAGGCAACGAUGCAUAGCCGACCUGAGGGGGUGAUCGGCCACACUGGAACUGAGACACGGUCCAGACGCCUACGGGAGGCAGCAGUAGGGAAUCUUCCGCAAUGGGCGAAAGCCUGACGGAGCAACGCCGCGUGAGUGAUGAAGGUCUUCGGAUCGUAAAACUCUGUUAUUAGGGAAGAACAUAUGUGUAAGUAACUGUGCACAUCUUGACGGUACCUAAUCAGAAAGCCACGGCUAACUACGUG